RNAcentral lists this ribosomal RNA (253 nucleotides) under uncultured bacterium. Its description in RNAcentral is "partial 16S ribosomal RNA". It matches the Rfam family "Bacterial small subunit ribosomal RNA", at positions 524 to 776 of the family's 1533-position model. The record is from RNAcentral.
UACGGAGGGGGCUAGCGUUGUUCGGAAUUACUGGGCGUAAAGCGCGCGUAGGCGGCUUUGUAAGUUAGAGGUGAAAGCCCGGAGCUCAACUCCGGAACUGCCUUUAAGACUGCAUCGCUAGAACGAUGGAGAGGUGAGUGGAAUUCCGAGUGUAGAGGUGAAAUUCGUAGAUAUUCGGAAGGACACCAGUGGCGAAGGCGACUCACUGGACAUCUGUUGACGCUGAGGUGCGAAAGCGUGGGGAGCAAACAGG